UACGGGGGGAGCAAGCGUUGUUCGGAUUUACUGGGCGUAAAGGGCGCGUAGGCGGUCAGCACAAGUCAGUUGUGAAAUCUCCGGGCUUAACCCGGAAAGGUCAACUGAUACUGUGCGACUAGAGUGCGGAAGGGGCAACUGGAAUUCUCGGUGUAGCGGUGAAAUGCGUAGAUAUCGAGAGGAACACCUGCGGCGAAGGCGGGUUGCUGGGCCGACACUGACGCUGAAGCGCGAAAGCCAGGGGAGCGAACGGA
Molecule: ribosomal RNA, 254 nt
Filed under: uncultured bacterium
Lineage: Bacteria
Description: partial 16S ribosomal RNA
Rfam family: Bacterial small subunit ribosomal RNA
Source: RNAcentral